UCUCAACAAGGCCCUGUAGAAGAACUUACCUCUUCAUGUCCUUUACACAACAAGUAUUUCCACAAAAUUCAACAGAGAGUGAAUUAUCAUAUGUGAGUUUGGAAAUGCUCAGUAAAUUUUUAGUGAUUGCAGGAACAAGUAACAUGUCUUUUAGAGCUAUAGUGGUGGUGUGUGUAUAAUGAUGCUUUGAAGCUCUAAAUGAUAAAAAGCAAGACCAAUAUGAGAAAUAGAUAAGCCUUGACCAUUUCCAAUAAUGAAUU
This 260-nucleotide long non-coding RNA is filed under the name Citrus maxima (pomelo). Its description in RNAcentral is "long non-coding RNA (CMAX_LNC000207)". The record is from RNAcentral. Lineage: Eukaryota; Viridiplantae; Streptophyta; Magnoliopsida; Sapindales; Rutaceae.